AGUCGAGCGGCAAGGUCUUCGGACCCUAGAGCGGCGCACGGGUGAGUAACGCGUACGCAAUCUGCCCUUCAGUGAGGAAUAGCCCUGGGAAACUGGGAUUAAUACCUCAUAAUAUUAUGUAGCUGCAUGGCUAUAUAAUUAAAGUUCUGGCGCUGAAGGAUGAGCGUGCGUCUGAUUAGCUAGUUGGUAGGGUAACGGCCUACCAAGGCUACGAUCAGUAGGGGGCGUGAGAGCGUGACCCCCCACACGGGUACUGAGACACGGACCCGACUCCUACGGGAGGCAGCAGUAAGGAAUAUUGGGCAAUGGAGGCAACUCUGACCCAGCCAUCCCGCGUGAAGGAUUAAGGCCCUAUGGGUUGUAAACUUCUUUUGUUUGGGAAGAAAUCUGGUCAUUUAUGAGCAGUUGACGGUACCUUACGAAUAAGCACCGGCUAACUCCGUGCCAGCAGCCGCGGUAAUACGGAGGGUGCAAGCGUUAUCCGGAAUCACUGGGUUUAAAGGGUGCGUAGGCGGUUUGAUAAGUCAGAGGUGAAAGCUAGCAGCUUAACUGUUAAAUUGCCUUUGAUACUGUCAGACUUGAAUCAAGUUGAGGUAGGCGGAAUGUGACAUGUAGCGGUGAAAUGCAUAGAUAUGUCAUAGAACACCAAUUGCGUAGGCAGCUUGCUGGGCUUGAAUUGACGCUGAGGCACGAAAGCGUGGGGAUCAAACAGGAUUAGAUACCCUGGUAGUCCACGCCCUAAACGAUGUUAACUCGAUAUUUAUU
RNAcentral lists this ribosomal RNA (765 nucleotides) under uncultured Bacteroidota bacterium. RNAcentral's name for it is "bacterial SSU rRNA". It matches the Rfam family "Bacterial small subunit ribosomal RNA", at positions 60 to 828 of the family's 1533-position model. The record is from RNAcentral. Lineage: Bacteria; Pseudomonadati; Bacteroidota.